This is a long non-coding RNA of Bos indicus x Bos taurus (hybrid cattle), 2212 nucleotides long. Lineage: Eukaryota; Metazoa; Chordata; Mammalia; Artiodactyla; Bovidae. The record is from Ensembl.
AGGGUUGCUCAUGACCUGCACAGGUGGGGGCAGGGGCUUCAAAUGUACACAGUGUCCCACUGAUUGUGUGCUCACGGGCGCACACACACAUAUGACCCCACCUGACCUCAUCUUGCAGGACAAGUGAGAGUUAAACGUGCCAGUUCAAGUUCAUUCCAUCUCUUAGCUUUGUACCUGACUCUUCAAAGGUUGGAACAGCUGCAAGGCUGUCUCUUGCUCUCAAGAGGACACCCCUCCUCCCUGUUCUUCUUUGCUAAGCUGCAGGGAUGCGGCUGUGCCUUCAGGGACUGCUGGUCCCUGGGCUGUAGGGGACAGGCCAUCUUGCUCUCAACCCUUCCCACCACCACCCCCCCACCACCCCAGUAGUCCUGUAGCUGGGGUCCCAGGGUCUGCUCACUACACCUAAGCCAGGCAAGGGGAUUGCAACCUCCACAGCAGGGCCCUGCUGCUGGGUUUCCCAAUCUGGGGACAGCUGCCCAACGGUCUAGCUAUGACCCCAUAAUUACCCCUGGAGUGGCUGGCUGCUCUGCAGUUCUUGGUUAGAAGGCUGAUCCCUUGGCAAGUUCACAAGACACUCUCAGCUUCCUUCUGGUUCCCUUCCAUGCCGCUGGGAGUCCAGGAGCCUGGGGGCUCUGCUCCAAGCCCCUUUUAUGCUUCAUGAACUUGUGUCACUCAGGGGACAGCCCUGCUAUGGAAGUUGGCCCUCAGUUCCAGAAGCACAGGGAAUGAGGUAAGUGGCAGCGUCGCCUUUGACCUUUGACUUUCUUUCUUCCCCGCUCCUGGGGUCCCACCUGAGCUGCCAAGGCCCCUGAGUUUCAUGAAACCUGGCAGCAUUCUCUGACACCCCUCCCCCGUCCUGAGGUCCCUCUGUCCAGCGCCAGCUCACCUUCUUGUCACAUUCAGUGUCUGCUCCACCUUGCACCAGCUUAGAAUAAGCCCCAGGGCUCAGAGCUCCAAGCGCUGCACCUGAUGUAUACAGGACAACGUACAGAACUUAGCAAACAUUUUCUUCUGCCGCAGAGCCUGGCUUCUAAAGCUCUGGGCUGUGGCUUGGAGCUCCUAGCCUGGCUGCACGUUCUCUUUCUCUUUGUGCCUUGUUACCACCCUGAUCUCCUGUGGCACUGGGUGCCUCUGGCAGGUGAGCGGGAAGGUCACAGAGAAGAAAAGAAGAAAAAACCUGCAUGUGCCACUUUUCGAGAGGAAGAAACUUGAAGACAAUGCUCAGGACAAAACUAUCUUUUCCCCGUAGGAUGGAGACUGUGGAAUUCUAGUGAUGCUGUGAUGAAAACCAACGGUGAGCCCCCUGGAAAGGGUAAAAGGUAGUGAUAACUGAGGCUAAAACUUACCAAGUACCUCUGAGUGCCUCCUAUGUGCUGGAGUUCCCCAUAGAUGCUUUAUAUCCCAAGCCCUCCCAACAAAGUUGCAGGAUGAGAUAAAACUCUCAAUUUAGAGAGUUUAAGCAUUGGAUCCAAGUCUCAAAGCAGUAACUGCAGAAGAACAAGUCAAACCCAGCACUCUCUCAUUUCCUGCAUCCCCUGCCAUCUUGCCGGGGCCCUGAGAGGCAAGGUUGAAACACAGAAGCUCAGUAUUUGGAGGAAAAGUAGUUUGAGAAUCACCUUGAGGAAGGGAAUAUGACAGCCUGCUGUCAAUGACAUGAAUGAGUUGUUGGCCUGUGGCUAAGACAUAGAUCCAAACUCCUCUUGGAGCUAAGAGGCCCCUGCCUGCUCUGGGUCCCAGAGACCUCUCAGAUCUCCGCCCCUCCCACACCACCUCUGCUUGCCCCCUUGCUGCUUUUGCCAGUCAUGUUCCUGCAUUUGCAAUUCCCAGUUUGGAGCACUCUGUCCUCAAGCCUGGGCAUGGUCCCUCUCUACCUCAUCCAGGUCUCUGCUCCAAAGAUACACCCUCAGGGAGUCCUUCCUAACCACUCUGUCAUUACACCCACCCCAUUCUGUUGAGUUAGGCUGCCUUUUUUUCUCUUUUGCCAAAUAGCACUGGGUACUCCCUGACCUUAUACUGUAUAUUUGUCUUCUUAUUUAUAUUUAUUUUCUGUCUUCCCCACUACAGUGACAGACCUAGGAGGUCAGGAGCUUCAUCUGUGCUGAUCAUUGCUGUAAUCCUGGGGCUUGGAGCAGGGCCAGCACACAGCAAGUACUCAAUACAUAGACACAGGGCCAAAGACUUGGUUAGCAGGGCAGGGAGAGCCUUGUGACUU